Molecule: long non-coding RNA, 398 nt
Filed under: Prunus persica (peach)
Lineage: Eukaryota; Viridiplantae; Streptophyta; Magnoliopsida; Rosales; Rosaceae
Description: long non-coding RNA (PPER_LNC005213)
Source: RNAcentral
GCCAGAUGAGCAAGCUUGUCGGCCAACAAUGGCUGGCUGUUUUGUUGCAGGGAGGAGAAGAAAAAUCGCAGGGGAGAAGAGAGAGAGGAGAAGAAUCAGAUUUAAAAAUCUGGCUUGCAAAAAUUACGAUUUUACCCCUCAAAGUAUUUUGAUCGUAUUUCCUUCGUUAUAACCCCGAUUUGAGCUCACAAUGUGUCUACGGACUCAUUUCAUCACACUCUGUGCAACGGUACAAGAGAAAUUUUCAAAUUCUUCUUCGGUAAAAAAAAAAAACCUAAAAAAAAAGUCAACUUUUCUUUAAUAGUUUGUUCUAGGGGCAAAAUUGUCCUUUCCUCUUAAUAAAUUAAGAAUUAAAUAUUAAUUAAGGAUCGGGUUAUUACAUCAAAUCUCUAAAACUG